GAAAUCAUAACUCAUUAAUGGAGUUCUGUUUGUUGUUGUUGCGGUGGUUUCUAAUUCGCUUGGUGCAGGUCGGGAACUAGUUCGCCGGCGGAGAUCUUAAGCGAUUACACGGCCUAAUUAGUUAGCUCCCGCCUUGCAUCAACUGAAUCGGAUACCGCGGAUACAUCUCUUUCAGUUGAUGAAGGAAGGGCAUGCUUCUUCUUCUUCAAUGGGACCCAAAUUUAUUAAUUUUUGUUUUUUUGCUUUGUUUGACAGAUCAUUACAAUCUUCCAUGUUUUCUUGAUUCCUGAUAUGUUAUAUACAAUCAUUGUUUGAUCCGUGAAUUCAUUUGGGUGUUUCUAGAA
Impatiens glandulifera is the source of this 344-nucleotide long non-coding RNA. RefSeq lists it as uncharacterized. The transcript is spliced from 2 exons. Lineage: Eukaryota; Viridiplantae; Streptophyta; Magnoliopsida; Ericales; Balsaminaceae. The record is from RefSeq and is a predicted model, not a curated record.